UCAAUAUUCAUUUUAUCGUUUGUUGCAAAUGGAGCAUUAUGUAUAGGCUGCUUGUCUUCGCCGUGGACGACACUAAAGACCUCUAAGUUUAAGUAGCUCUCUUAGCAGAACGAGAGCCAUAAUGGAUCAGGAAAUUCCAUCAAUGCACCCUGUCUCUCUUUAGUAGGGAGCCGAGGCACCCUUCUAUGACUCAGUCUUGUCACGUUACAGUAUGAGGAACUGCGCAAAAGCAGAUUGAAGCAAA
Bemisia tabaci is the source of this 244-nucleotide non-coding RNA. Lineage: Eukaryota; Metazoa; Arthropoda; Insecta; Hemiptera; Aleyrodidae. The record is from RefSeq and is a predicted model, not a curated record.